Molecule: ribosomal RNA, 1250 nt
Filed under: Candidatus Phytoplasma trifolii
Lineage: Bacteria; Bacillati; Mycoplasmatota; Mollicutes; Acholeplasmatales; Acholeplasmataceae
Description: bacterial SSU rRNA
Rfam family: Bacterial small subunit ribosomal RNA
Source: RNAcentral
GAAACGACUGCUAAGACUGGAUAGGAAACAAAAAGGCAUCUUUUUGUUUUUAAAAGACCUUCUUAUGAAGGUAUGCUUAAAGAGGGGCUUGCGCCACAUUAGUUAGUUGGUAGGGUAAAAGCCUACCAAGACGAUGAUGUGUAGCUGGACUGAGAGGUUGAACAGCCACAUUGGGACUGAGACACGGCCCAAACUCCUACGGGAGGCAGCAGUAGGGAAUUUUCGGCAAUGGAGGAAACUCUGACCGAGCAACGCCGCGUGAACGAUGAAGUAUUUCGGUAUGUAAAGUUCUUUUAUUGAAGAAGAAAAAGUAGUGGAAAAACUAUAUUGACGUUAUUCAAUGAAUAAGCCCCGGCUAACUAUGUGCCAGCAGCCGCGGUAAGACAUAGGGGGCGAGCGUUAUCCGGAAUUAUUGGGCGUAAAGGGUGCGUAGGCUGUUAGAUAAGUCUAUAAUUUAAUUUCAGUGCUUAACGCUGUUUUGUUAUAGAAACUGUCUUGACUAGAGUGAGAUAGAGGCAAGCGGAAUUCCAUGUGUAGCGGUAAAAUGUGUAAAUAUAUGGAGGAACACCAGAAGCGUAGGCGGCUUGCUGGGUCUUUACUGACGCUGAGGCACGAAAGCGUGGGUAGCAAACAGGAUUAGAUACCCUGGUAGUCCACGCCGUAAACGAUGAGUACUAAGUGUCGGGGUAAAACUCGGUACUGAAGUUAACACAUUAAGUACUCCGCCUGAGUAGUACGUACGCAAGUAUGAAACUUAAAGGAAUUGACGGGACUCCGCACAAGCGGUGGAUCAUGUUGUUUAAUUCGAAGAUACACGAAAAAUCUUACCAGGUCUUGACAUACUCUGCAAAGCUAUAGAAAUAUAGUGGAGGUUAUCAGGGAUACAGGUGGUGCAUGGUUGUCGUCAGUUCGUGUCGUGAGAUGUUAGGUUAAGUCCUAAAACGAGCGCAACCCUUGUCGUUAAUUGCCAGCACGUAAUGGUGGGGACUUUAGCGAGACUGCCAAUUAAACAUUGGAGGAAGGUGAGGAUUACGUCAAAUCAUCAUGCCCCUUAUGAUCUGGGCUACAAACGUGAUACAAUGGCUGUGACAAAGAGUAGCUGAAACGCGAGUUUUUAGCCAAUCUCAAAAAAGCAGUCUCAGUUCGGAUUGAAGUCUGUAACUCGACUUCAUGAAGUUGGAAUCGCUAGUAAUCGCGAAUCAGCAUGUCGCGGUGAAUACGUUCUCGGGGUUUGUACACACCGCCCGUCA